AAGGGAGAAGUGCACUAGAUGGCGCGAGUGUCUUUGUUAAAGACGAAAUUUCGCCAUUUGCUUUUCUGCACUUUUCGAUAACGAUCGUUACGUACUCCAGUCAUGUUGCAGUCCUUUAUUUCCUGAAAUUCUUCGUCUUAAAAAUCGUAAAAAUCUACUUGCAAUUUCAUCGUAUGGCCCGAAAGGCCGAAACUGCUGUACAUUUUGCCAAAAUGUCGUCUCUUGCUGCAUGCAUGGAUGUACGUUUCCUGAGUCGUCACAUUCAGAAACACUUAAGAACAGUUACAGUUAUUUAGGAAAUCAUGUCCAUUGGACCAAAUCUUUUGAUUAUGUUGCAUGACGGAUGUCCAUUUUGCCAAAAUAUCAUCUCUUGCUGUAUGUCUCUUCCCAUGCUGAAGCACUCACUAACUGCAAAAAAUUUCAGAUAAGUUUACAUUGCAUAUGCUUUUACAAACAAGUAGGAAAAUCUUGACAGCGGAAGAAUCCAUGUAAAAUUUUCUCAUGAUUGAAGUCCAGUAGAGCUGUUGCAUGCAGUUUGUUGUGCUGGUGUUUUUACAUUCUCUAGUUAUUGAAGUCUUCACCAGAUUCAAUUCUUUACUACUCUUUGAUCUGGACAAACAAAAAAAAUUGUCCCUCUUGAAAGGUGAUCACCAUUUGAGCUUUAAUUAAGGACAAAUCUAGGAUUGAUUGAUCAGAGGUUAAUCCCUCACCGUUGUUUAAUGAAGGGAGUCAGCGGUGGUGUGGCUCUGCAGUACUAAGCCAAUCACAUGGCGCAAAAUGAAUUGUCCCUUACGACCAGACGAUGGAGCAGAUUGCCUUACCCAUUCCGUAAAUGUAUGUAUGUGAGUAUUUUACCAACAAAAGAAAAGUGCGCAUCUUCAACACGGCGGACGACCAGGGAUCGAAAAUGGCCGUCUUUUUUUUAAGGAGUCGACAUGUUUAACAAAAUGAAAUGUAGAAGAAAUUGCGCGAACAGCCGUUUCUCUUUUGGGUCAGCUCGCACAAGUCCAUCUGGAGUCAAAUCCUCUUCAGUUUGGCCGUCAUUAUCAACUUGGUUGUCGCCUUCUUUUACCCGAUUGACACUGACGGACCGGCUCCUGAUCCAUUAGCAUUUGAAACUGCUCUAGCAUUGCCACUUUGAAGCAAACGACCUUUGUUCCUUCUCUACGAGAGGCACCUUGUAGAGGAAUCUCGUGCUGGUGUAGGAAUCCCAACUCAACCGUCGUCUGCUUCACACCCAUGUUCGACACAGUUCGUCAAAUCAAACAUGUACUAAUGAAGAGGAGUAAUUCCAAACCACACUUGCACGGUGUUAGUUAGACCACAACCUUUUACCAGCCUCCAUAAAAGAAAGGAUUCACCAUUGGACUCUUUACUUUUUUCUAG
Molecule: long non-coding RNA, 1386 nt
Filed under: Daphnia pulicaria
Lineage: Eukaryota; Metazoa; Arthropoda; Branchiopoda; Diplostraca; Daphniidae
Description: uncharacterized LOC124342486, transcript variant X3
Source: RNAcentral